RNAcentral lists this transfer RNA (69 nucleotides) under Ictidomys tridecemlineatus (thirteen-lined ground squirrel). RNAcentral describes it as "Spermophilus tridecemlineatus (thirteen-lined ground squirrel) tRNA". It matches the Rfam family "tRNA". Rfam says of the family: Transfer RNA (tRNA) molecules are approximately 80 nucleotides in length. Their secondary structure includes four short double-helical elements and three loops (D, anti-codon, and T loops). Further hydrogen bonds mediate the characteristic L-shaped molecular structure. tRNAs have two regions of fundamental functional importance: the anti-codon, which is responsible for specific mRNA codon recognition, and the 3' end, to which the tRNAs corresponding amino acid is attached (by aminoacyl-tRNA synthetases). tRNAs cope with the degeneracy of the genetic code in two manners: having more than one tRNA (with a specific anti-codon) for a particular amino acid; and 'wobble' base-pairing, i.e. permitting non-standard base-pairing at the 3rd anti-codon position. Lineage: Eukaryota; Metazoa; Chordata; Mammalia; Rodentia; Sciuridae. The record is from Rfam by way of RNAcentral.
GGUGAUGUGGCUCAAUGAUAGAGUGCUUGCUUAGCAUGCAUGAGGCCUUGGGUUUAAUUCUCAGCACUA